RNAcentral lists this ribosomal RNA (495 nucleotides) under uncultured bacterium. RNAcentral's name for it is "partial 16S ribosomal RNA". It matches the Rfam family "Bacterial small subunit ribosomal RNA", at positions 28 to 507 of the family's 1533-position model. The record is from RNAcentral.
GAUGAACGCUGGCGGCGUGCCUAAUACAUGCAAGUAGAACGCUGAAGGAGGAGCUUGCUCUUCUGGAUGAGUUGCGAACGGGUGAGUAACGCGUAGGUAACCUGCCUGGUAGCGGGGGAUAACUAUUGGAAACGAUAGCUAAUACCGCAUGACAACAGUUAUUGCAUGAUAACUGUUUAAAAGGGGCAACUGCUCCACUACCAGAUGGACCUGCGUUGUAUUAGCUAGUUGGUGAGGUAACGGCUCACCAAGGCGACGAUACAUAGCCGACCUGAGAGGGGGAUCGGCCACACUGGGACUGAGACACGGCCCAGACUCCUACGGGAGGCAGCAGGAGGGAAUCUUCGGCAAUAGACGGAAGUCUGACCGAGCAACGCCGCGGGAGUGAAGAAGGUUGUCGGAUCGUAAAGCUCUGUUGUAAGAGAAGAACGAGUGUGAGAGUGGAAAGUUCACACUGUGACGGUAUCUUACCAGAAAGGGACGGCUAACUACGUG